This 477-nucleotide ribosomal RNA is filed under the name uncultured bacterium. Its description in RNAcentral is "partial 16S ribosomal RNA". It matches the Rfam family "Bacterial small subunit ribosomal RNA", at positions 28 to 523 of the family's 1533-position model. The record is from RNAcentral.
GACGAACGCUGGCGGCGUGCUUAACACAUGCAAGUCGAACGGUAAGGCCCUUCGGGGUACACGAGUGGCGAACGGGUGAGUAACACGUGGGUGAUCUGCCCUGCACUUCGGGAUAAGCCUGGGAAACUGGGUCUAAUACCGGAUAGGACCACUGCCUGCAUGGGGGGUGGUGGAAAGCUUUUGCGGUGUGGGAUGGGCCCGCGGCCUAUCAGCUUGUUGGUGGGGUGAUGGCCUACCAAGGCGACGACGGGUAGCCGGCCUGAGAGGGUGACCGGCCACACUGGACUGAGAUACGGCCCAGAUUCCUACGGGAGGCAGCAGUGGGGAAUAUUGCACAAUGGGCGCAAGCCUGAUGCAGCGACGCCGCGUGAGGGAUGACGGCCUUCGGGUUGUAAACCUCUUUCAGCACCGACGAAGCGCAAGUGACGGUAGGUGCAGAAGAAGGACCGGCCAACUACGUGCCAGCCGCCGCCGUAA